Mustela putorius furo (domestic ferret) is the source of this 73-nucleotide non-coding RNA. The record is from Rfam. Lineage: Eukaryota; Metazoa; Chordata; Mammalia; Carnivora; Mustelidae.
GCCUGGCUGGCUCAAUCUGUAGAGCAUGUGGCUCUUGACCUCAGGGUUGCGAGUUUGAGCCCCACGUUGGGUG